This 272-nucleotide ribosomal RNA is filed under the name uncultured Staphylococcus sp. Its description in RNAcentral is "partial 16S ribosomal RNA". It matches the Rfam family "Bacterial small subunit ribosomal RNA", at positions 90 to 355 of the family's 1533-position model. Lineage: Bacteria; Bacillati; Bacillota; Bacilli; Caryophanales; Staphylococcaceae. The record is from RNAcentral.
CGUUAGCGGCGGACGGGUGAGUAACACGUGGGUAACCCACCUAUAAGACUGGGAUAACUUCGGGAAACCGGAGCUAAUACCGGAUAAUAUUUCGAACCGCAUGGUUCGAUAGUGAAAGAUGGUUUUGCUAUCACUUAUAGAUGGACCCGCGCCGUAUUAGCUAGUUGGUAAGGUAACGGCUUACCAAGGCGACGAUACGUAGCCGACCUGAGAGGGUGAUCGGCCACACUGGAACUGAGACACGGUCCAGACUCCUACGGGAGGCAGCAGCA